Molecule: ribosomal RNA, 230 nt
Filed under: uncultured bacterium
Lineage: Bacteria
Description: partial 16S ribosomal RNA
Rfam family: Bacterial small subunit ribosomal RNA
Source: RNAcentral
UGGGCAACCUACCCUUGACUCUGGGAUAACUCCGGGAAACCGGAGCUAAUACCGGAUAUGAACACGAAGGACAUCCUUUGUGUUGGAAAGUUUUUCGGUCAGGGAUGGGCCCGCGGCCUAUCAGCUUGUUGGUGGGGUAAUGGCCCACCAAGGCGACGACGGGUAGCCGGCCUGAGAGGGCGAUCGGCCACACUGGGACUGAGACACGGCCCAGACUCCUACGGGAGGCA